CACCGGCGCCACAAGUGGCCAUCGCGAUUAUUGGGCCUAAAGCGUCCGUAGCAGGACGAGCACAUCUCCGGUGAAAUCGUUGCGCUUAACGUAACGGAUUGCGGGAGACACGACUUGUCUUGGGACCGGGAGGGGUUAGAGGUAUUCAGGGGGGAGCGGUAAAAUGCGAUAAUCCCCUGAGGACCACCGACGGCGAAGGCAUCUAACCAGAACGGAUCCGACUGUGAGGGACGAAAGCCAGGGGAGCAAACCG
Molecule: ribosomal RNA, 253 nt
Filed under: uncultured archaeon
Lineage: Archaea
Description: partial 16S ribosomal RNA
Rfam family: Archaeal small subunit ribosomal RNA
Source: RNAcentral